Molecule: ribosomal RNA, 484 nt
Filed under: uncultured bacterium
Lineage: Bacteria
Description: partial 16S ribosomal RNA
Rfam family: Bacterial small subunit ribosomal RNA
Source: RNAcentral
AUUGAACGCUGGCGGCAGGCCUAACACAUGCAAGUCGAGCGGAUGAAGGGAGCUUGCUCCUGGAUUCAGCGGCGGACGGGUGAGUAAUGCCUAGGAAUCUGCCUGGUAGUGGGGGAUAACGUCCUGAAACGGGCGCUAAUACCGCAUACGUCCUGAGGGAGAAAGUGGGGGAUCUUCGGACCUCACGCUAUCAGAUGAGCCUAGGUCGGAUUAGCUAGUUGGUGGGGUAAAGGCCUACCAAGGCGACGAUCCGUAACUGGUCUGAGAGGAUGAUCAGUCAUACUGGAACUGAGACACGGUCCAGACUCCUACGGGAGGCAGCAGUGGGGAAUAUUGGACAAUGGGCGAAAGCAUGAUCCAGCCAUGCCGCGUGUGUGAAGAAGGUCUUCGGAUUGUAAAGAACUUUAAGUUGGGAGGAAGGGCAGUAGGUUAAUACCUUGCUGGUGUGACGUUACCAACAGAAUAAGCACCGGCUAACUUCGUG